UCCUACGGGAGGCAGCAGUGGGGAAUUUUGGACAAUGGGCGAAAGCCUGAUCCAGCAAUGCCGCGUGUGUGAAGAAGGCCUUCGGGUUGUAAAGCACUUUUGUCCGGAAAGAAAUCCUUGGCUCUAAUACAGUCGGGGGAUGACGGUACCGGAAGAAUAAGCACCGGCUAACUACGUGCCAGCAGCCGCGGUAAUACGUAGGGUGCGAGCGUUAAUCGGAAUUACUGGGCGUAAAGCGUGCGCAGGCGGUUUGCUAAGACCGAUGUGAAAUCCCCGGGCUCAACCUGGGAACUGCAUUGGUGACUGGCAGGCUAGAGUAUGGCAGAGGGGGGUAGAAUUCCACGUGUAGCAGUGAAAUGCGUAGAGAUGUGGAGGAAUACCGAUGGCGAAGGCAGCCCCCUGGGCCAAUACUGACGCUCAUGCACGAAAGCGUGGGGAGCAAACAGGAUUAGAUACCCUGGUAGUCCACGCCCUAAACGAUGUCAACUAGUUGUUGGGGAUUCAUUUCCUUAGUAACGUAGCUAACGCGUGAAGUUGACCGCCUGGGGAGUACGGUCGCAAGAUUAAAACUCAAAGGAAUUGACGGGGACCCGCACAAGCGGUGGAUGAUGUGGAUUAAUUCGAUGCAACGCGAAAAACCUUACCUACCCUUGACAUGGUCGGAAUCCUGCUGAGAGGUGGGAGUGCUCGAAAGAGAACCGGCGCACAGGUGCUGCACGGCUGUCGUCAGCUCGUGUCGUGAGAUGUUGGGUUAAGUCCCGCAACGAGCGCAACCCUUGUCCUUAGUUGCUACGCAAGAGCACUCUAAGGAGACUGCCGGUGACAAACCGGAGGAAGGUGGGGAUGACGUCAAGUCCUCAUGGCCCUUAUGGGUAGGGCUUCACACGUCAUACAAUGGUCGGAACAGAGGGUUGCCAACCCGCGAGGGGGAGCUAAUCCCAGAAAACCGAUCGUAGUCCGGAUUGCACUCUGCAACUCGAGUGCAUGAAGCUGGAAUCGCUAGUAAUCGCGGAUCAGCAUGCCGCGGUGAAUACGUUCCCGGGCCUUGUACACACC
This 1056-nucleotide ribosomal RNA is filed under the name uncultured Burkholderia sp. RNAcentral's name for it is "bacterial SSU rRNA". It matches the Rfam family "Bacterial small subunit ribosomal RNA", at positions 337 to 1391 of the family's 1533-position model. Lineage: Bacteria; Pseudomonadati; Pseudomonadota; Betaproteobacteria; Burkholderiales; Burkholderiaceae. The record is from RNAcentral.